AUUGAACGCUGGCGGCAGGCCUAACACAUGCAAGUCGAGCGGAGCGGCGGACGGGUGAGUAAUGCCUAGGAAUCUGCCUGGUAGUGGGGGAUAACGUCCGGAAACGGGCGCUAAUACCGCAUACUAUCAGAUGAGCCUAGGUCGGAUUAGCUAGUUGGUGGGGUAAAGGCUCACCAAGGCAACGAUCCGUAGCUGGUUUGAGAGGACGACCAGCCACACUGGGACUGAGACACGGCCCAGACUCCUACGGGAGGCAGCAGUGGUGAAUUUUGGACAAUGGGGGAAACCCUGAUCCAGCCAUGCCGCGUGUGUGAAGAAGGUCUUCGGAUUGUAAAGCACUUUAAGUUGGGAGGCGUUACCAACAGAAUAAGCACCGACUAACUACGUGCCAGCAGCCGCGGUAAUUC
RNAcentral lists this ribosomal RNA (407 nucleotides) under uncultured bacterium. Its description in RNAcentral is "partial 16S ribosomal RNA". It matches the Rfam family "Bacterial small subunit ribosomal RNA", at positions 30 to 526 of the family's 1533-position model. The record is from RNAcentral.